Molecule: small RNA, 845 nt
Filed under: Mytilus galloprovincialis (Mediterranean mussel)
Lineage: Eukaryota; Metazoa; Mollusca; Bivalvia; Mytilida; Mytilidae
Source: RNAcentral
AUGCAUCGUCUACGCCAACAUGAGCGUUAUAGAACAGUGGGAAUGGUACAAGCAGGUAUGCGUCAUAUUGACGUCGCAAACAACUUUGGUGUUUCUAAAUUGACAAUAACAAGAUUAAUGAGUCGUCUAAGACAGACUAGGUACUCAAAUGGCAGACGUCGUAGUGGACGUCCAAGAGAAACGACGUUACACCAAGACCGUCGAAAAAGAUUCACUCAUCUCAGGGAUCGGCUUCUACCAGCUACAAUCACCGCUAGACAAACACCUGGAAGGCAUAAUCAAAGGAUAUCCGCCAAAACUGUACGUAAUAGGCUAAGAGAGGCUGGUUUACGUUCACGACGUCCAGUAGUAGGAGCCAUUCUAAAACAGCGUCAUGCAUUUGCACGUCUACGUUGUGCAAAUGCACGUUUGUAUUGGAACCGUGUCAGGUGGCAAAACGUCAUUUUUAGGGAUACCGACGUCAAAAUGAACGAUAUGCAGACGCUUGUUUGCAUGAAUGUGAUCGCUUUGGUGGUGUUGUGAUGGUUUGGGCAGGAAUCACGCAUUGUGGACGCACUGACUUGCCGUUCAUUAACGGAAGCCUUAUUGGAGUUCGUUAUCGUGAUGAAAUUCUCUCUUCAAUUGUACAACCAUUCAUUGCAAGGCAUGGAAAUCGGCAUACUUUCCAACAGGACAAUGCUAUGUGCCACGUGGCACGUGUAUGCACACAAUAUCUUGAACAGAAUAACAUUGACAUCCUUCCAUGGCCAGCUUUAUCGCCAGAUCUAUCACUCAUUGAACAUUUAUGGGAUGAACUUGACAAACGUGUUCGCAGACGUCAUCAGCUACCAGAGUCAGUCAACUAG